Small nuclear RNA from Echinops telfairi (small Madagascar hedgehog), 191 nucleotides. Its record names the gene U2. It matches the Rfam family "U2 spliceosomal RNA". Rfam says of the family: U2 is a small nuclear RNA (snRNA) component of the spliceosome (involved in pre-mRNA splicing). The record is from Ensembl. Lineage: Eukaryota; Metazoa; Chordata; Mammalia; Afrosoricida; Tenrecidae.
AUCGCUUCUCAGCCUUUUGGCUAAGAUCAAGUGUAGUAUCUGCUCUUAUCAGUUUAAUAUCUGAUACGUCAUCUAUCUGAGAACAAUAUAUUAAAUGGAUUUUUGGAGCACGGGAAUGGAAUAGGAGCUUGCUCCAUCCACUCCACGCAUCGACGUGGUAUUGCAGUACUUCCAGGAACAGUGCACCCCUU